AAGCAAUGAUGAAAAGGUUUUAUUGUGGAUCUUUAUAACUAUGAAGGUUUCUACACUUGCUCUGAGCUCA
Bison bison bison is the source of this 70-nucleotide small nucleolar RNA. NCBI's taxonomy places the organism in Eukaryota, Metazoa, Chordata, Mammalia, Artiodactyla, Bovidae. The record is from Ensembl.